Molecule: ribosomal RNA, 485 nt
Filed under: uncultured bacterium
Lineage: Bacteria
Description: partial 16S ribosomal RNA
Rfam family: Bacterial small subunit ribosomal RNA
Source: RNAcentral
AUUGAACGCUGGCGGCAUGCCUUACACAUGCGAGUCGAACGGCAGCGGGCCCUUCGGGGUGCCGGCGAGUGGCGAACGGGUGAGUAAUGCAUCGGAACGUACCCGGGAGAGGGGGAUAACCGGCCGAAAGGCUGGCUAAUACCGCAUGAACUCGGAAGAGCAAAGCGGGGGACCUUCGGGCCUCGCGCUCUCGGAGCGGCCGAUGUCCGAUUAGGCUAGUUGGUGGGGUAAAGGCCCACCAAGGCGACGAUCGGUAGCGGGUCUGAGAGGACGAUCCGCCACACUGGGACUGAGACACGGCCCAGACUCCUACGGGAGGCAGCAGUGGGGAAUCUUGGACAAUGGGCGCAAGCCUGAUCCAGCAAUGCCGCGUGGGUGAAGAAGGCCUUCGGGUUGUAAAGCCCUUUCGGCGGCGAAGAAAUCGGUCAGGCGAAUAGUCUGGCCGGAUGACGGUACCCGCAGAAGAAGCACCGGCUAACUACGUG